GGGCGAUUAGCUCAGCGGAAGAGCGCUGCCUUCACACGGCAGAGGUCGUGGGUUCGAUACCCGCAUCGCCCA
This 72-nucleotide transfer RNA is filed under the name Actinomycetes bacterium. Its description in RNAcentral is "Actinobacteria bacterium (rhizosphere metagenome) tRNA-Val". It matches the Rfam family "tRNA". Rfam says of the family: Transfer RNA (tRNA) molecules are approximately 80 nucleotides in length. Their secondary structure includes four short double-helical elements and three loops (D, anti-codon, and T loops). Lineage: Bacteria; Bacillati; Actinomycetota; Actinomycetes. The record is from RNAcentral.